Molecule: ribosomal RNA, 311 nt
Filed under: uncultured Bacteriovorax sp.
Lineage: Bacteria; Pseudomonadati; Bdellovibrionota; Bacteriovoracia; Bacteriovoracales; Bacteriovoracaceae
Description: bacterial SSU rRNA
Rfam family: Bacterial small subunit ribosomal RNA
Source: RNAcentral
AACGAACGCUGGCGGCGUGCUUAACACAUGCAAGUCGAACGAGAAAACCCUUCGGGGUGAGUAGAGUGGCGCACGGGUGAGUAACACGUAGGUGACCUACCAUUUAGCGGGGGAUAACACGGAGAAAUUCGUGCUAAUACCGCGUAAGCAGUACAACUUUGAAAGGAGUACUGGAAAGGAUGCUUCGGCAUUCGCUGAAUGAUGGGCCUGCGUUACAUUAGCUUGAUGGUGGGGUAAUGGCCUACCAUGGCUACGAUGUAUAGCUGGUCUGAGAGGAUGAUCAGCCACACUGGAACUGAGACACGGUCCAG